GCAGUUUGUUCUCCUCUGUAAAUUAGCGAUUAGCUUUAAGUAAACAUGAACGUGAAGACCUGGGUUUGAUUGACAGGUAAUCUGGGUGUGGAUGGUCUCAUACGGUAGUGUUUCAGAGGAGAAAAAACU
Limulus polyphemus (Atlantic horseshoe crab) is the source of this 129-nucleotide long non-coding RNA. RefSeq lists it as uncharacterized. Lineage: Eukaryota; Metazoa; Arthropoda; Merostomata; Xiphosura; Limulidae. The transcript is spliced from 3 exons. The record is from RefSeq and is a predicted model, not a curated record.